GCUGGGUGCGGUGGCGUGUGCCUGUAAUCCCAGCUACUUGGGAGGCUGAGGCAGGAGAAUUGCUUGAACCCAGGAGGCAGAGGUUGCAGUGCGUGGAGAUCACGCCACUGCACUCCAGCCUGAGUGACAGAGCAAAAUUCCGUCUCGG
Molecule: non-coding RNA, 148 nt
Filed under: Homo sapiens (human)
Lineage: Eukaryota; Metazoa; Chordata; Mammalia; Primates; Hominidae
Source: Rfam by way of RNAcentral